This 1098-nucleotide long non-coding RNA is filed under the name Helianthus annuus (common sunflower). Lineage: Eukaryota; Viridiplantae; Streptophyta; Magnoliopsida; Asterales; Asteraceae. The record is from RNAcentral.
CUCUUCUCGAUCUCUAAUCUUCAUUCACAUCCUAGGGUUUCUGCAACUUUAUUCGCACCUAUCCUUCUCAUCCAAUCGCAUCCAUUCGCACUUCAUUCUGCCGAUGUCUUCCAAAACCUAAUGGAUCCUUCAGUCGUUCAAUCUGUCGUUCCAUCCAAGCCUAUAAAAUCCAAUGUUCCAUCAGGUUAAUCUAUUCAGGUACGAUUCCUUAUUUUCCUCACAAAACCUAAUCCAAAAAAUUAUCCUCUGUCUGAAAUGGCGCUGCCAAAAUCUUAUCAAGAUGGAUUGAGAUUGCUUAGCGAACAAAACCUAAUUCAGAGCUAUGGAAGAUCUCUGAUUUUUCUAGCAGGUUCAUAACCUACCAGAACCACUGUGGCAUAAAUUGAAUGCAUCACAUUUCUCUACUCCACACUAUCUCAAAACUUGAAUCUCGAUUACUUGGUUCAACACUACGGCUGGUUGGGAAGUUCAUUUUGUAGCAAUUUGUGUGAUCCGUGACCCAUGUCCUUCUCUGAAUGGGAGCACUUGUAUAAGAGUUGAGGGACUACUUGAACAGCGAGAUGGAAUUGAAAUUGUUGGAUUGGAUAAAACAGCAACGCAAUUAGGUCACGUUACGCACACCAUUCCAUUUUGCUAUAGAGAUCCCUGUAUUCUAGCUAAUGGGAGCUUUUUACAUGGAUAAUAAACCUAUCCUUAAUGAGUUAAAGUUGAUAGAAAAGUUUGCAUUUUUAUGGAAAAUUGCUUUGGUUAACUUUCUUCAUAAAAUGAGCAAGGGGAAGAGUUGUUUUUUUGUCAAUAGCAAAGAGAUUGUUGAUUUAUGCUCUUGCAGCUUGGGAUUUAAGGGGAACUUGGCUAUUUACCAAAGUCUCUAUUGGAGCGAUCAAGAAUUGGAUGACUCAAAUCUAAGAACCAAGAAUCAAGAAGUUUUUUGUACUUAAAAGGACAAGAAUCUGAGUUUCAAUAAGCUAACGUCAUUUGGCAAUGAUCUAGAUGGCUUAAUUAGCCUUAAAAUUAUGUUUUUAAUAUGACAUAAAAUCCAUCAAGGUCAGGAUCAUGACCGGAGAAACAAGAACCUACAAGUGGAUGUCAAAUAAGUAA